RNAcentral lists this transfer RNA (73 nucleotides) under Candidatus Saganbacteria bacterium CG08_land_8_20_14_0_20_45_16. Its description in RNAcentral is "tRNA-Ala". It matches the Rfam family "tRNA". Rfam says of the family: Transfer RNA (tRNA) molecules are approximately 80 nucleotides in length. Their secondary structure includes four short double-helical elements and three loops (D, anti-codon, and T loops). Lineage: Bacteria; Bacillati. The record is from RNAcentral.
GGGGCUGUAGCUCAGCUGGGAGAGCGCUAGAUUUGCAUUCUAGAGGUCAGGGGUUCGAUCCCCCUCAGCUCCA